This is a long non-coding RNA of Glycine soja, 1792 nucleotides long. RefSeq lists it as uncharacterized. The record is from RefSeq and is a predicted model, not a curated record. The transcript has 7 exons. NCBI's taxonomy places the organism in Eukaryota, Viridiplantae, Streptophyta, Magnoliopsida, Fabales, Fabaceae.
UCAACUUCCCAUUUAACUCUCUCUCGCGCUCUCACUCUUCAACUUCCCAUUUAACUCUCCCUCUAGGGUUCCCAAGCCACCACCUAAGCGUAGCUCUAGGCUUCGUCUCUGCUCUUGCCCGCAAUGUCCUCUCCCUUCCUUGGAGACAUCCUACUAAGGAAGACGUCGACCUCAAUGUCUUCUACCAGAGCUCGUAGUAAUGGCUUCAUUUCCAAUUUGCCUGAUUGUAAAUUUGCUGCAACAAACCCUAAGAUUCGCCAAUUUUUUUGCAAUGAAGCUCCGAAGAAGAGUGGGUUUUAUCGGUGAUGUUGCGUGCUUCGUGUGUGAUUGAAGCUGCUUCGUUUAAUUUGGUUUUCGACUUACUGUGCUGCUCUUCAGUUAGUGUUUUGAUUGGUAUUUUUCGAUUUUUGACAGAUUAUAAGAACUUCUAUCCCAAGGAAAAGAAGGAAGUUCCGAAGAGGAAUGACAAGAAACAUGAGUACAAAGGUAAAAGAAGAAACUUUUGUGCACACCCUAUUUUUUUCUAAAUUAGGAAGCUUUCAUGGCAAAUUGUUGGAAUAUGGUGGUGGCUACUGGUGUAAUGAGUAAACUGGAGGUUUGAGCAUGCCUAGAGUUACCAUUUUCCAUACAUAUUGUUAUUUUAUUUUUAUUUUGCAGGAUGUUGUAAGUUUGACCAAUUUUUUCCAAAACACCCGUGGAAUAUCAGUAGAAGAGAAGCGCCAUAUAUUUUUGCCUACAUAAUAAGCAUGAUUUUUGCAAGGAAAUAUUUAAAUGGCUUUUUACUUAGCAGAGAUGCCAAUUUCCUCGUAUGUUUCAAUUAUUUAUUCUAAGCAGGGUUGUGGUGCCCCUUAUUCAAGGUUAUGAAGAUGUUGGGGAUUUCAUUGUAUCAGAAAGAUUAGAGACUGGUGUACAUGUUAACUUGAUCUUCUAUCUAAUCAUUGGAUCCAUUGGCCUUUUUUGAACUCGUUCUUAUCAUUUUGACACACAAUAAGUGUUUUGAUGAGGUCACUUCUUGUAAGAGGAUUCUGGAGACAAUUUUCUUAAGGCAGAAGACAAAAUUUCAUCUCUUCCAUAAUGAGAUGGUGCCAUCUUUCUUUAGAAUUUAGAAGAUUAGCAUGGUCUCUUGAUGGUUCAUUUCUACAUGUGCUUCGAGUAGAAGUAGAUCUUUAUUCAAUUAGGCUCGUUGCAUUUUACAAUGUCUUUGUUGAUAUUCAAGAAAGAGAUUAUGGAAGCAUGCAUGCAGAUUGGAACAUCCUUCCUCCAAUAGAAAUCAAGGAUGUCAAUGGCUAAAUGCAGAAAAGUGGAUAUAUGACUUAUGUAUUGGAGGCAUUUGAAUUGGAAGAUACAAUAAAGAAUUUUGAUCGCCACAACUCAACUAAAUGGGAAUGUAAUUCAAGCAUUAGACCUGCUCAAACUGGCAAGUUGGGGUCCCUAUUUGAUACUUUAGGAGUGAUCCAAAGAGAAUGACAGAUACCUUAAAAAGAUAGAGAAUGAAGAAUCAUGCACAACUUAUAAGAUGUUGAAGUCAUGAUUUGAGUUUCUAGAGCAAGCUCUUUGAGAAGGAAAGUUAGUAUUUAUUCUAUACUUUAUAGAGAUAUAUGUUCUAUAUUUUUACGAUUCUUAUUUUCUUAUUUUUCUAUUAUUUUACUUUAUGUUUUAUGCAUAUGUGAUAUGUUAUUGUAUUGUCAUGGUGCUUUCAAUUCCUGUUAUUGUAAAUUUUAGUUAAGUUGUCAACGAAAUAUCUAUUGCUCAAGAAUCCAUUUGAGAAAGCAACUACUAUUGAAGAAGAAAA